GGAAUAUUGCGCAAUGGGCGAAAGCCUGACGCAGCAACGCCGCGUGGGUGAAGAAGGCUCUCGGGUCGUAAAGCCCUGUCAAGGGGGACGAGAAAGGACGGUACCCCUGAAGGAAGCACCGGCUAACUCCGUGCCAGCAGCCGCGGUAAUACGGAGGGUGCAAACGUUGUUCGGAAUCAUUGGGCGUAAAGCGCGCGUAGGCGGCCUGUCAGGUCGGGUGUGAAAUCCCGGGGCUCAACCCCGGAAUUGCGCUCGAAACCGGCAGGCUUGAGUUCCGGAGGGAGAGGUGGAAUUCAUGGUGUAGGGGUGAAAUCCGUAGAUAUCAUGAGGAACACCGGUGGCGAAGGCGACCUCUUGGCCGAGGACUGACGCUGAGGUGCGAAAGCGUGGGUAGCAAACAGGAUUAGAUACCCUUGUAGUCC
This 422-nucleotide ribosomal RNA is filed under the name uncultured bacterium. RNAcentral's name for it is "bacterial SSU rRNA". It matches the Rfam family "Bacterial small subunit ribosomal RNA", at positions 358 to 796 of the family's 1533-position model. The record is from RNAcentral.